UACGAAGGGGGCUAGCGUUGCUCGGAAUUACUGGGCGUAAAGGGCUCGUAGGCGGCCAACUAAGUCAGACGUGAAAUCCCUCGGCUUAACCGGGGAACUGCGUCUGAUACUGGAUGGCUUGAGUUUGGGAGAGGGAUGCGGAAUUCCAGGUGUAGCGGUGAAAUGCGUAGAUACUGGGAGGAACACCAGUGGCGAAGGCGGCUACCUGGACCGGUUCUGACGCUGAGGCGCGAAAGCGUGGGUAGCAAACAGG
RNAcentral lists this ribosomal RNA (253 nucleotides) under uncultured bacterium. RNAcentral's name for it is "partial 16S ribosomal RNA". It matches the Rfam family "Bacterial small subunit ribosomal RNA", at positions 524 to 776 of the family's 1533-position model. The record is from RNAcentral.